UGACUCUACAUAUUAUAUUCAUUUAAUAAAUAGAAGUAAUAAACAUUCAUGGAAAAACACAACAAUCAAUAAAAUGUAUCGAUUUUUGGCUAUGUCAGAGUAUAAAAAUAAUCUCUGACAAAUAUUGACAAAUUAAUAAAUAUAAAAAGCUUCGGAGAAAUUAUGAAUAGAUAGCGAUAUAGUAUAAAAGAAACUAAUCACCUAAUAUAAAGGAUGAUUAAUGAAACCGGGAUAGCGUUAAUUCGUGGGUCAGUAAUUGACCAAGGCUAUUUGUAAACCCGAAAAGCCAGAAAAAAAAGUCAGGAGUUCGUAAUAAAAUUGUUGUACUUUGGGUGAGAAA
Molecule: long non-coding RNA, 340 nt
Filed under: Polistes fuscatus (common paper wasp)
Lineage: Eukaryota; Metazoa; Arthropoda; Insecta; Hymenoptera; Vespidae
Description: uncharacterized LOC122515115
Source: RNAcentral